AUUGAACGCUGGCGGCAGGCCUAACACAUGCAAGUCGAACGAGUGGCGGACGGGUGAGUAAUGUCUGGGAAACUGCCUGAUGGAGGGGGAUAACUACUGGAAACGGUAGCUAAUACCGCAUACCAUCAGAUGUGCCCAGAUGGGAUUAGCUAGUUGGUGGGGUAACGGCUCACCAAGGCGACGAUCCCUAGCUGGUCUGAGAGGAUGACCCGCCACAAUGGAACCUAGAACAGGGCCAGGCUCCGACGGGAGGCAGGAGUGGGGAAUAUUGGACCAAGGGCGAAAGCCUGAUGCAGCCAUGCCGCGGGGAUGAAGAAGGCCUUGGGGGUGUAAAGUACUUUCAGCGGGGAGGCGUUACCCGCAGAAGAAGCAACGGCUAACCCCGUGCCAGCAGCCGCGGUAAUAC
Molecule: ribosomal RNA, 406 nt
Filed under: uncultured bacterium
Lineage: Bacteria
Description: partial 16S ribosomal RNA
Rfam family: Bacterial small subunit ribosomal RNA
Source: RNAcentral